RNAcentral lists this ribosomal RNA (380 nucleotides) under Escherichia coli. RNAcentral describes it as "bacterial SSU rRNA". It matches the Rfam family "Bacterial small subunit ribosomal RNA", at positions 1 to 377 of the family's 1533-position model. The record is from RNAcentral. Lineage: Bacteria; Pseudomonadati; Pseudomonadota; Gammaproteobacteria; Enterobacterales; Enterobacteriaceae.
AAAUUGAAGAGUUUGAUCAUGGCUCAGAUUGAACGCUGGCGGCAGGCCUAACACAUGCAAGUCGAACGGUAACAGAAAGCAGCUUGCUGCUUUGCUGACGAGUGGCGGACGGGUGAGUAAUGUCUGGGAAACUGCCUGAUGGAGGGGGAUAACUACUGGAAACGGUAGCUAAUACCGCAUAACGUCGCAAGACCAAAGAGGGGGACCUUCGGGCCUCUUGCCAUCGGAUGUGCCCAGAUGGGAUUAGCUAGUAGGUGGGGUAACGGCUCACCUAGGCGACGAUCCCUAGCUGGUCUGAGAGGAUGACCAGCCACACUGGAACUGAGACACGGUCCAGACUCCUACGGGAGGCAGCAGUGGGGAAUAUUGCACAAUGGGCG